UAAAGCGUGCGCAGGCGGUUAUAUAAGACAGAUGUGAAAUCCCCGGGCUCAACCUGGGAACUGCAUUGUGACUGUAUAGCUGGAGUGCGGCAGAGGGGAUGGAAUUCCGCGUGUAGCAGUGAAAUGCGUAGAUAUGCGGAGGAACACCGAUGGCGAAGGCAAUCCCCUCGGGCCUGCACUGACGCUCAUGCACGAAAGCGUGGGGAGCAAACAGGAUUAGAUACCCCUGU
RNAcentral lists this ribosomal RNA (230 nucleotides) under uncultured bacterium. RNAcentral describes it as "partial 16S ribosomal RNA". It matches the Rfam family "Bacterial small subunit ribosomal RNA", at positions 561 to 791 of the family's 1533-position model. The record is from RNAcentral.